AUUAACCUGGCGGCAGGCUUACACAUGCAGUCGAGCGGAGCGAAGGUGCUUGCACCUUAGCUUAGCGGCGGACGGGUGAGUAAUGCUUAGGAAUCUGCCUAUUAGUGGGGGACAACGUUUCGAAAGUGAACGCUAAUACCGCAUACGUCCUACGGGAGAAAGCAGGGGAUCUUCGGACCUUGUGCUAAUAGAUGAGCCUAAGUCGGAUUAGCUAGUUGGUGGGGUAAAGGCCUACCAAGGGCGACGAUCUGUAGCGGGUCUGAGAGGAUGAUCCGCACACUGGGACUGAGACACGGCCCAGACUCCUACGGGAGGCAGCAGUGGGGAAUAUUGGACAAUGGGCGAAAGCCUGAUCCAGCCAUGCCGCGUGUGUGAAGAAGGCCUUUUGGUUGUAAAGCACUUUAAGCGAGGAGGAGGCUUCUUUGGUUAAUACCCAAAGUAAGUGGACGUUACUCGCAGAAUAAGCACCGGCUAACUCUGUGCCAGCAGCCGCGGUAAUACAGAGGGUGCAAGCGUUAAUCGGAUUUACUGGGCGUAAAGCGUGCGUAGGCGGCUAAUUAAGUCAAAUGUGAAGUCCCCGAGCUUAACUUGGGAAUUGCAUUCGAUACUGGUUAGCUAGAGUAUGGGAGAGGAUGGUAGAAUUCCAGGUGUAGCGGUGAAAUGCGUA
This 667-nucleotide ribosomal RNA is filed under the name uncultured Acinetobacter sp. RNAcentral's name for it is "bacterial SSU rRNA". It matches the Rfam family "Bacterial small subunit ribosomal RNA", at positions 28 to 692 of the family's 1533-position model. Lineage: Bacteria; Pseudomonadati; Pseudomonadota; Gammaproteobacteria; Moraxellales; Moraxellaceae. The record is from RNAcentral.